This 207-nucleotide ribosomal RNA is filed under the name uncultured bacterium. Its description in RNAcentral is "partial 16S ribosomal RNA". It matches the Rfam family "Bacterial small subunit ribosomal RNA", at positions 568 to 774 of the family's 1533-position model. The record is from RNAcentral.
CACGUAGGCGGGACAGAAAGUCAGAGGUGAAAUCCCAGGGCUCAACCUUGGAACUGCCUUUGAAGCUCCUGUUCUUGAGGUCGAGAGAGGUGAGUGGAAUUCCGAGCGUAGAGGUGAAAUUCGUAGAUAUUCGGAGGAACACCAGUGGCGAAGGCGGCUCACUGGCUCGAUACUGACGCUGAGGUGCGAAAGCGUGGGGAGCAAACA